CGGACGAUUAGCUAGUUGGCGGGGCAACGGCCCACCAAGGCGACGAUCGUUAGCUGAUGUGAGAGCAUGGUCAGCCACACGGGCACUGAGACACGGGCCCGACUCUUACGGGAGGCAGCAGUAAGGAAUAUUGGUCAAAUGGGCGCAGGGUUGAACCAGCCAUGCCGCGUGGAGGGACGAAGGCCUCUCCCGGGUCGUAAACUCCUUUUACCCCGGGACGAAAAAAGCCCCUUUUGAGGGGCACUUGACGGUACCGGGGGAAUAAGCACCGGCUAACUCCGUGCCAGCAGCCGCGGUAAUACGGAGGGGUGCGAGCGUUAUCCGGAUUCACUGGGUUUAAAGGGUGCGCAGGCGGGCUUUUAAGUCAGCGGUGAAACCCGCGGGCUCAACCCGCGGACUGCCGAUGAUACUAGGGGCCCUUGGAUGUCGCUGAGGGCAGCGGAAUGGGGCAUGUAGCGGUGAAAUGCAUAGAUAUGCCCCGGAACACCGAUUGCGGAGGCAGCUGCCUAAAGGACGAUCGACGCUGAGGCACGAAAGCGUGGGUAGCGAACAGGAUUAGAUACCCUGGUAGUCCACGCCCUAAACGAUGAUUACUCGACGUCCGCGGCAUACUGUGGGCGUCCAAGCGAAA
RNAcentral lists this ribosomal RNA (631 nucleotides) under uncultured bacterium. RNAcentral describes it as "bacterial SSU rRNA". It matches the Rfam family "Bacterial small subunit ribosomal RNA", at positions 234 to 856 of the family's 1533-position model. The record is from RNAcentral.